This 828-nucleotide ribosomal RNA is filed under the name Cornu aspersum (brown garden snail). RNAcentral describes it as "Helix aspersa (brown garden snail) partial 16S ribosomal RNA". The record is from RNAcentral. Lineage: Eukaryota; Metazoa; Mollusca; Gastropoda; Stylommatophora; Helicidae.
AUUUAUUAGAUAUUUUGUGUUUAUCAGUUUCACGAAAUAAAAUGAGCUACAUAUGUUUAUUUUAGGCAUGUGUAAUAAUUACGUUAUAUAGUAAUUACAAAAUGCAUAUUUAGGGGCGAUAGACCUUCCAAAUUUUAAGAUAUCUUGUUGUAAAAUAAAAAUAUUUAGUAUCUAGUUAAACUAUAAAAGUUAAGCUUUAUAGUAUUUAUUAAUUUCAUUUUCUUACUCUUGCAGUUUAAUCACUAGCAAUUAAGCAAUUUUAAUAUAUAAUAUGAAUUUUUAUAUCAUAAUUUUCACUAUAUUUAUUUAUUAUAAAAUAGAUAAUGUAAAUAUUAGUAGUUUACGUAAAUACAUUAAAGGAACUCGGCAAAUAUUCUACUCAACUGUUUAACAAAAACAUAACUACAUGAUAUUAUAUGUAGCUACUUCUGCUCAAUGGUACACCUAAAUAGCCGCAGUACUCUGACUGUGCAAAGGUAGCAUAAUCAAUUGGCUUAUAAUUGAGGUCUGGUAUGAACGAAUAAUUGGGUAGUAACUGUCUUAAUGUAUUUUUAUAAAUUUAGUAAGCAAGUGAAAAUACUUGCUCAGUUAUAAAAGACGAGAAGACCCUAGAAACUUAUAUGUGUUUUUGUUGGGGCGACAGGAUUACAAUUAACUAAUCUUAUUUUACAAGACGUAUAACAGGAAGAUUAAGUUACUCUAGGGAUAAUCAAGCAUAAUUUUAAGUAGUUUGUGACCUCGAUGUUGGACUAGGUACAGAACUCCUUAGAAGGGAUUUAACAUGCUCUGUUCGAGCAACUUAACCUACAUGAUCUGAGUUCAGACCGG